CUACGGGCUGCUCCAGUCGAGAAUCGUCUACAAUGGGGGAAACCCUGAUAGUGCGACGCCGCGUGAACGAUGAAACCCUUCGGGGCGUAAAGUUCUUUUCUUUGUGAGCAGAUUAUUUAAUGAGAAUAUUGUUUAAUAAUAGAUAUUGGCAAAGGAAUAAGCCACGGCUAACUCCGUGCCAGCAGCCGCGGUAAUACGGGGGUGGCAAGCGUUGCCCGGAAUCACUAGGCGUAAAGGGCAGGUAGGCGGACUGGUAAGUCAGAUGUUAAAGGCACAGGCUCAACCUGUGUAGGGCAUUUGAUACUGUCAGUCUAGAGUUAGGUAUGGGAGGACGGAAUUUCUGGUGUAGCGGUGGAAUGCGCAGAUAUCAGAAAGAACACCAAAGGCGAAGGCAGUUCUCUUAGCCAUAACUGACGCUAAACUGCGAAGGUGUGGGUAUCAAACAGGAUUAGAUACCCGGGUAGUC
RNAcentral lists this ribosomal RNA (466 nucleotides) under uncultured bacterium. Its description in RNAcentral is "partial 16S ribosomal RNA". It matches the Rfam family "Bacterial small subunit ribosomal RNA", at positions 339 to 795 of the family's 1533-position model. The record is from RNAcentral.